Molecule: ribosomal RNA, 367 nt
Filed under: Centropyge bicolor (bicolor angelfish)
Lineage: Eukaryota; Metazoa; Chordata; Actinopteri; Pomacanthidae
Description: partial 12S ribosomal RNA
Rfam family: Bacterial small subunit ribosomal RNA
Source: RNAcentral
UAAACAUAGACAGUACACAUACUUAACUGUCCGCCCGGGGACUACGAGCAUCAGCUUAAAACCCAAAGGACUUGGCGGUGCUUUAAACCCCCCUAGAGGAGCCUGUUCUAGAACCGAUAAUCCCCGUUCAACCUCACCCUUCCUUGUUCUUUCCGCCUAUAUACCGCCGUCGUCAGUUUACCCUGUGAAGGUAAAACAGUAAGCACAAUCGGCACAGCCCAAAACGCCAGGUCGAGGUGUAGCGUAUGGAAGGGGAAGAAAUGGGCUACAUUCCUUAAUACUAAGGCAUACGAAUGAUAUGUUGAAACACAUAACUGAAGGAGGAUUUAGCAGUAAGCAGGAAGUAGAGUGUCCCGCUGAAAUCGGC